This 397-nucleotide ribosomal RNA is filed under the name Pseudochattonella sp. RNAcentral's name for it is "partial small subunit ribosomal RNA". It matches the Rfam family "Eukaryotic small subunit ribosomal RNA", at positions 582 to 975 of the family's 1831-position model. The record is from RNAcentral. Lineage: Eukaryota; Dictyochophyceae; Florenciellales.
AUUCCAGCUCCAAUAGCGUAUAUUAAAGUUGUUGCAGUUAAAAAGCUCGUAGUUGGAUUUCUGGCGUCGCCGCCCGGUCGGCCUCGAAAGGGGUUCGCACUCGUUGGCGCGCGUCGCCAUCCUCGGGGGAAGGCCGCCUGGCAUUAAGUUGUCGGACGGUCGACGCUCGUCGUUUACUGUGAACAAAUUAGAGUGUUCAAAGCAGGCUUAGGCCGUUGAAUACAUUAGCAUGGAAUAAUGAGAUAGGACUUUGGUGGUCUAUUUUGUUGGUUUGCACGCCGAAGUAAUGAUUAAUAGGGGCGGUUGGGGGUAUUCGUAUUCAAUUGUCAGAGGUGAAAUUCUUGGAUUUAUGGAAGACGAACUACUGCGAAAGCAUUUACCAAGGAUGUUUUCAUCA